Camelus ferus (Wild Bactrian camel) is the source of this 82-nucleotide transfer RNA. It matches the Rfam family "tRNA". From Rfam's summary of the family: Transfer RNA (tRNA) molecules are approximately 80 nucleotides in length. Their secondary structure includes four short double-helical elements and three loops (D, anti-codon, and T loops). Lineage: Eukaryota; Metazoa; Chordata; Mammalia; Artiodactyla; Camelidae. The record is from Rfam.
GUAGUUGUGGCCAAGUGGUUAAGGUGAUGGACUAGAAAUCCAUUGGGAUUUCCCCACACAGGUUCAGAUCCUGUCAACUAUG